This 253-nucleotide ribosomal RNA is filed under the name uncultured bacterium. RNAcentral describes it as "partial 16S ribosomal RNA". It matches the Rfam family "Bacterial small subunit ribosomal RNA", at positions 524 to 776 of the family's 1533-position model. The record is from RNAcentral.
UACAGAGGGGGCAAGCGUUGUUCGGAAUUACUGGGCGUAAAGGGUGCGUAGGCGGUUUGUUAAGUCACUGGUGAAAGUUUUCGGCCCAACCGGAAAAUUGCCUGUGAUACUGGCGAACUUGAGUGCGUGAGGGGUGGGGGGAACGAGCAGUGUAGCGGUGAAAUGCGUAGAUAUUGCUCGGAAGGCCGGAGCCGAAGGGGCCCCACUGGUACGUAACUGACGCUGAGGCACGAAAGCGUGGGGAGCAAACAGG